AUAUUGCACAAUGGGCGAAAGCCUGAUGCAGCAACGCCGCGUGAGGGAUGAAGGUUUUCGGAUCGUAAACCUCUUUUAUAGAGCAGCAAGAUAUGAGCGCUCUAUGAAAAAGCACCUGCUAACUACGUGCCAGCAGCCGCGGUAAUACGUGGGGUGCAAGCGUUAUCCGGAAUUAUUGGGCGUAAAGAGAUGCGUAGGCGGUUUGUCAAGUUUUUGGUGAAAUCCCCUGGCUUAACCAGGGAACUGCCAAGAAUACUGACAGACUUAGAGGGAAUCAGGGGGUGCUGGAACUCGUGGUGUAGUAGUAAAAUGCGUUGAUAUCACGAGGAACACCCAAGGCGAAGGCAGGCACCUGGGAUUCACCUGACGCUAAGGCUCGAAAGCGUGGGGAGCGAAACGG
This 400-nucleotide ribosomal RNA is filed under the name uncultured bacterium. Its description in RNAcentral is "bacterial SSU rRNA". It matches the Rfam family "Bacterial small subunit ribosomal RNA", at positions 361 to 776 of the family's 1533-position model. The record is from RNAcentral.